This 886-nucleotide ribosomal RNA is filed under the name uncultured Bacteroidota bacterium. RNAcentral describes it as "bacterial SSU rRNA". It matches the Rfam family "Bacterial small subunit ribosomal RNA", at positions 23 to 905 of the family's 1533-position model. Lineage: Bacteria; Pseudomonadati; Bacteroidota. The record is from RNAcentral.
CUCAGGAUGAACGCUAGCGGCAGGCUUAACACAUGCAAGUCGAGGGGCAGCGCGGGGCAGCAAUGUUCUGGCGGCGACCGGCGGAAGGGUGCGUAACGCGUGAGCGACAUGCCCGUUGCCCGGGGACAACCGGUGGAAACGCCGACUAAUCCCCGAUGGGACGGAGGCCCUCAUGGGUCUCCGUUGAAAGUUACGGCGGCGACGGAUUGGCUCGCGUCCGAUUAGCUUGUUGGCGGGGUAACGGCCCACCAAGGCUACGAUCGGUAGGGGUUCUGAGAGGAAGGUCCCCCACAAUGGAACUGAGACACGGUCCAUACUCCUACGGGAGGCAGCAGUGAGGAAUAUUGGUCAAUGGGCGGAAGCCUGAACCAGCCAUGCCGCGUGCGGGAAGGAGGCCCUAUGGGCUGUGAACCGCUUUUGCCUGGGGGCAAUAAGGGCGUCGUGCACGUCCGAUGAGAGUACCAGGCGAAUAAGCAUCGGCUAACUCCGUGCCAGCAGCCGCGGUAAUACGGGGGAUGCGAGCGUUAUCCGGAUUCAUUGGGUUUAAAGGGUGCGUAGGCUGUGCGUCAAGUCAGGGGUGAAAUUCCGGGGCUCAACUCCGGGGCUGCCCUUGAUACUGUCGCGCUGGAGUGCGGAUGCCGCCGGAGGAAUGAGUGGUGUAGCGGUGAAAUGCUUAGAUAUCACUCAGAACACCGAUUGCGAAGGCAUCUGGCGAAUCCGUAACUGACGCUGAGGCACGAAAGCGUGGGGAUAGAACAGGAUUAGAUACCCUGGUAUUCCACGCCGUAAACGAUGAUGGCUAACCGCCGGCGACACACUGUCGGUGGCCAAGCGAAAGCGAUAAGCCAUCCACCUGGGGAGUACGUCGGCAACGAUGCAACUCAAA